CGCCCAUCAGUCAGAAUGGAUUAACAGCUUUCCUUUGAAGAGAGGAGAAGACCCAAAUUAUAGGAAGAGGACAGAUGAUAUUCAAGAAAGAUAAGAUGGAAACAAGCAGAGGCUCCCUGCUAACAGAGACACACUCAUGUUACACUGUGUUCAACACCGUGAGGGGGCACAAUGACUUCUCCUUCCGCUGUGAGAUCAACACUCCUCUUAAAGAGUAAUCGGAAACUGGGAGGCUCAAGAUCCGUCAAUCUACACCUCAGCUACUGCCGCACCCAUCUUCACUAUUUACACAGCAAGAGCACUGAACAAGUGGAGAAACUGGAUCACGUCUACAGAGGAGUAAAUGUUACUAAUUGAAGGCUACAUAUAUGAAAACAGCAAAAGGAAAAAUAGCUGAAUAAAGCCUGCCAGAGAGGCAUUAGGAAGAAGUGAGCUCAUCAAAUCUCAUCAGCCUGAUAUAAAUCUCUGCUGGAGUUUAGUUGCUGCACGUUACAAACAUUUCUGACUAGCUAAAAAAAAUAAAAGGCUGAAACGUCAUUUUGUAAGUCUAUAUGUACAAAUAUUUAGUUCCCUAGCAACACUGAGCUAAAAGUAAAUCAGGCUAAAACACCAUGUCUGCAAUCAGCAAAAACGUUGAAGAUUAUCAUGUUCAG
Molecule: long non-coding RNA, 653 nt
Organism: Girardinichthys multiradiatus
Lineage: Eukaryota; Metazoa; Chordata; Actinopteri; Cyprinodontiformes; Goodeidae
Exons: 3
Source: RefSeq, a predicted model, not a curated record